Long non-coding RNA from Pseudophryne corroboree (corroboree frog), 2032 nucleotides. RefSeq lists it as uncharacterized. The record is from RefSeq and is a predicted model, not a curated record. The transcript has 3 exons. NCBI's taxonomy places the organism in Eukaryota, Metazoa, Chordata, Amphibia, Anura, Myobatrachidae.
GCAGGCACACGCACCGCAUCGCAGAGAAGACACUGAAAUUAAACUACAUCUCCCAGCAGCACUUGCUGCCGGGAGCUGUACUUUACUUUCAGUUUCAUCUCUGCAGCGUGCAGAGCCGCAUUAAGAGGGGGCACAGGGGAGAAAUUACUCCCCCCUCCCCCUAACCCCACUGUUAGUGCCUUUAAUCAUUGCAGCCACUGCUGCAGUGAACAUGAAAUUCCGAAAAGGGGGCGGGGCUAAACGGCACUGUACACACAGUGCCAUGCCAGCCAGCAACAUGGGAAAGAGGAGAGGAAGAGCAGCACAGCCUAAACAAUUUGGCCGCAAAACGUUCUACGUUUCAUCAUUGGUGUUUGGUCUUAAAGGUUUCCAGUUCCACCCCAGCCGGAGCACACAGCUGAAUUACUGCAACUGUCCCAGAUUGCUUUGUGCCCCUAUGACGUUCUAAACCCAUUUUGUACAGGACUGUUCUAUUAACCCAACCGGGACGGCUCCAGUACCAGCUCCCUGUGGAUAAACUUGUAAUCAUACCACGGCGGAUCGCAGCCCCUGGUCCUGGAUGAUUGAUGAACUGACUGCACCAACAAACCCAGCCUGGCAGAUGUGAGUCAGAAAAUAAACUCACAGAAAACUUUCCCUGGCAGAAUUCCCGUUCAUUUCUUCUCGUUUUACAGAUAUGUCAUUGAAAAUGGAAACUGCAAAGAGAAAAUGUGAUUUUUUUUUUUCGUUUUAUUAAUUUCACUGUUCACCUGUAACAUUACUGCAACCAGUUAACCCUUUACAUGCUGCAAAGACAAAAUAAUGACUGAUGUUAUCUGAGGGUCCUAUGCUACAUACUGUAUCUCAUACACAAUCUUGCUGCCCUGAGGUUGUGUUGCUUGUUGGAGUCACAGAAACCUCCUGCCUCCUGUCCCCAAUGUGGUUGCUGCCUUCUACCACCAUUACCUGGCCAUAAGCCAGUAGCGGAUCUUGCCACGGGCAAGCAGGACUUUUGCGCGGGGCGCCGCCUUCUGGAGGGCGCCGGCGCCAUCCGGAGGGCGCCGCACCAUGGCAAGAUCCGCUACUGCUGUGCCCCCCGCUGCCCGCUGUGUCCCACUGCCGCUGCCCGCGGUGUCCCGCUGUGAAGGGAACUAGACGCAUAGCGUCUAAUUUUCCUUCGUGGAGAGGACCUUUACUGUGCAGUGCACGGUCACGUCAUCGCGCACCGCACAGCAAAGGUCCUCUCCACGAAGGGAACUAGACGCUAUGCGUCUAGUUUCCCUUCGUGGAGAUGACCUUUGCUGUGCGGUGCGCAAUUACGUCAUCGCGCACCGCACAGCAUUUCAGCGGCGCUACUCUACUGUACAGGGGGCAUAACUGACCACGCCCCCUGUAUGAAGCCACACCCCUAUUUCCAGCCCGGGGCGCAAAAAGGGCUAGAACCGGCCCUGCCUUAAGCGUAAUCUGAAGAUGACGGUUCACAUGGCAUCCCUCUUCUGAAAUGAUUUACAAGUGUGCCCGGCAGACACGGCAAUAAACAAGCAAUUUGCACCAUGUAUAAUCACCAUCUACUUUGCCAAAGGUCAAUUUGCAUGUGUGUUGCAAACCUGAGGACUCUGCGACCCUGAGCUUUUGUUUGCUCCGUAAUGUGGUGAGCACAUUUUCCUGGCAUGGUUUGGGUGCAGUCCUUCCCCCAGAAUAUGUUUGUAUUAUAAACGGACGGUGUAAUGGUUAGCAUGACGGCCUCGCAGCACUGAGGUCGUGGGUUCGAAUUCCACCAUGGCCCUAACUGUGUGGAGUUUGUAUAUUCUCCCUGGGCUCACGUGGGUUUCCUCUGGGUACUCCUCCCACAACCCAAAAUUAUACUGGUAGUCUAAUUGGCUCCCAACAAAAUUAACCCUAGUGUGCAAUGCAUGUGGUAGGGACUAUAUAUUGCAAGCUCCACUGGAGCAGGGAUGUGAAUCGACAAUUAUUCUCUGUAAAGCGCUGUGGAAUAUGUGUGCGCUAUAUAAAUAACUGAUAAUAAUAAUAAAGGAGUUGCAACAAUAAAUAA